AUUGGGCCUAAGCAUCCGUAGCCGGUUGCAUAAGUUUUCGGUUAAAUCUAUGCGCUCAACGUAUAGGCCGCCGAAAAUACUGUGCAGCUAGGGAGUGGGAGAGGUACACGGUACUCAGUAGGAAGGGGUAAAAUCCUUUGAUCUAUUGAUGACCACCUGUGGCGAAGGCGGUGUACCAGAACACGUUCGACGGUGAGGGAUGAAAGCUGGGGGAGCAAACCGGAUUAGAUACCCGGGUAGUCCCAGCUGUAAACGAUGCAGACUCGGUGAUGCAUUGGCUUGUGGCCAAUGCAGUGCCGCAGGGAAGCCGUUAAGUCUGCCGCCUGGGAAGUACGUACGCAAGUAUGAAACUUAAAGGAAUUGGCGGGGGAGCAC
This 375-nucleotide ribosomal RNA is filed under the name uncultured Nitrososphaerota archaeon. Its description in RNAcentral is "bacterial SSU rRNA". It matches the Rfam family "Archaeal small subunit ribosomal RNA", at positions 503 to 879 of the family's 1478-position model. The record is from RNAcentral. Lineage: Archaea; Thermoproteati; Nitrososphaerota.